UACGUAGGUGGCAAGCGUUGUCCGGAUUUAUUGGGCGUAAAGAGCGCGCAGGCGGUUCGUUAAGUGCGAGGUGAAAUCUCCCGGCUCAACUGGGAGGGGUCUUCGCAUACUGGCGGGCUUGAGGAGAGCAGAGGUGAGCGGAAUUCUCGGUGUAGUGGUGAAAUGCGUAGAUAUCGAGAGGAACACCGGUGGCGAAGGCGGAUCUCUGGGCCUUACCUGACGCUGAGGCGCGAAAGCUAGGGGAGCGAACAGG
RNAcentral lists this ribosomal RNA (253 nucleotides) under uncultured bacterium. Its description in RNAcentral is "partial 16S ribosomal RNA". It matches the Rfam family "Bacterial small subunit ribosomal RNA", at positions 524 to 776 of the family's 1533-position model. The record is from RNAcentral.